Molecule: ribosomal RNA, 253 nt
Filed under: Oscillibacter ruminantium GH1
Lineage: Bacteria; Bacillati; Bacillota; Clostridia; Eubacteriales; Oscillospiraceae
Description: partial 16S ribosomal RNA
Rfam family: Bacterial small subunit ribosomal RNA
Source: RNAcentral
UACGUAGGUGGCAAGCGUUGUCCGGAUUUACUGGGUGUAAAGGGCGUGUAGGCGGAGAAGCAAGUCAGAAGUGAAAUCCAUGGGCUUAACCCAUGAACUGCUUUUGAAACUGUAUGUCUUGAGUGCCGGAGAGGUAAUCGGAAUUCCUUGUGUAGCGGUGAAAUGCGUAGAUAUAAGGAAGAACACCAGUGGCGAAGGCGGCUUACUGGACGGCAACUGACGUUGAGGCUCGAAAGCGUGGGGAGCAAACAGG